Molecule: long non-coding RNA, 34456 nt
Filed under: Gossypium barbadense (sea-island cotton)
Lineage: Eukaryota; Viridiplantae; Streptophyta; Magnoliopsida; Malvales; Malvaceae
Description: long non-coding RNA (GBAR_LNC021314)
Source: RNAcentral
CCCUUCCAGCGUAGCAAGUCAAUACGAAUGCUCACGAAAUCGUUGUUGUUGGUGAUUGUUUGAUCAGUGGAAACUGCUCCGACGGCGCCGCCUCCUUCCUCCGUGGACGGCAUUUUCAGGCUGAGCGGUUGGAAGUAAUAAAGAAGGUGAUUUUGUAAACUGUUUUUGGCUGAGUGAGUGAUGUUGGAGAAAAGGUGGCAAAAUGGCUACGAUGAUGACAAAUAUUUUAUAGCCUACAUGAUAAACAUAUAUGGGAAAUACUUAAGGUGUAAUUCAAAUUUACCCCUUAGUGUUUAUAUUUUUAUUAAUAUAAUUUUAAUUUUUUAAUUAAAUUUAAUUCUCUUUUGAAAGAGUCAAUGAUAAAAAAGAAAAGUUAAAUUAAUAUUUUUUAACAAAAAUAGUAAUAAAUAUUAAAAUUAAGAAUAAUAUUAUAGAACCUAAAUACUCAACACAACCCAAAACCUUCGCCUUAACCAAGAAACUAAUACUUCCUAAAUUUCAUUAGCUUAAUAAUAGCUAUUCAAAUAUAUUUUUUCAUUGUAUUACUUAAAUUAUUAUUACUUACUUUAACAUUUAAAUUAUCAUUAUAUUACAUGAUUAGUUCCAAAUAUUUAACAUUGUAACUAUGCUUCUUUAAAUAUAGUAAUUGCAUUUGUUAUUCACAUGUUAUUCACAUGCCAACCAACCAAUUUAUUAUUCACAUUCCUAACUUUCUAAAUGCAUCAAAUAUUUCAUAUUCAUGUACUAACAAAGAUCAUGCCAAGAACCCACAUGCAGAGUCAUUAUAUACCACAUUUAACUCAACAAGACUUUUACAUAACCAAAGAUUACUCCAAACGUUUAUACGCAUGUCGCAAUCCUUGACUCAAAUGAUAAAAAAAAAAACACCAAAUUGACAAUAAAAUAAUGUAAGCUUCGAACGAUCCAAUCGACAUGUUCCACAAUGUAACACCUAAAAGGAAAAAGAAAACAAUGGGGUAAGCAUAUAAGAUGCUUAGUAAACUCAUAUGUAAUCUAAAACUUACCUAGAUUAAUUGAACAUAAAAAUUACUGAAUAAUCUAUCAAAUUUAUUUUUCCAUGGCACGUAGAUAUCGUAUAUGUAACAACAUUUCAAGUCGAAAAUGUUAAAUACAAUGUUGAAUCAUUAUGUCUUCUUUUCUUAAGUUUCACUUAUAGAAAUAUAAUAUAGGUUCAAGUACAAAUAUAUGUCUCGAUUAAUCUAGAAAGAAUUAGACAAAAUUCACAUAUGAUAUACGCAUAUAAUGAGUGUGAGACUCACACAUCACAAUUGAGAAUAAUGUUAUAGAACCUAAAUACUCAACAACCCAAAACCUUUGCGUUAAGCAAGAAGCUAAGACCCUAUCGGAGGGAGAAUUUUAUAUCUACAACACUUCUUAAAUUUCAUUAGCUUAACAAUAGCUAUUCAAAUAUUUAACAUUGUAACCAUGCUUCUUUACAUAUAGUAAUUGCAUUUGUUAUUCUACCCAACUUAUGAAAAAUCUCAAAUUUGCAAUUUAUUAUUCACAUGCCAACCAACCAAUUUAUUAUUCACGUGCCAACCAAUUUGUUUUAUCGAAGUUAUUAUACUUAUAAGCUUUCACAUAUAACCAUGCUUCUUUACAUAUAUUAAUUGCAUUUAUUGUUGUACCUCAUGAAAAUUUUCAAAUUUGCAACAACAUAUUAUUCGCAUGCCAACCAACCUCUUUUUUUUUAUUGAAGUUAUUAUACUUAUAAGCAUUCACAUUUAACCAUGCUUCUUGUAACACUUUUCAUUGGACCCAAUCGUUGGGUCCGAUCUACAAGACUCUACAGUCAUUGUCAAAGCAACUACAGUCGAAAUUACGAUAAGAUAAUUUUCAUUUAAACAUCAAGCAAGAUUCAACUACAGUAAUACAUUAAUUAUGAGUUUUAAUCGAGCUUACAAAAGCUUUUUUGGUAGUCCGAACAAGAAUUAGGACCAAACUAUAAAGAUUUGAAAAGUUUGGAGCGACGUCGCAACUUCAGCUUUUCCUCAUCGCAACAUGACCAUCUCAGUAUGUCACAUCAUAUCGAAAAGCCUAUGCUCAUCGCAGCGAGACUCUCUGACUUGGCAAUGUCGCAAUGUCAAGAUUCGUAGCCGUGAUGUGAACUCUAUAUUUGACAAAAAUAUACAAUUUGGUACCUAAUUCAAAGCUCCAACUAAAAUCAUGCAAGAAAAAUACAUUACGUGCCAUUUCUAAAUGACUUAAAACUUACCUUAAACAUGCUAAGUAAGUUUAAACAUAUCAUUUCAAUUCCAUAGCAAUUCAUAUUACCAUUUCAUCAAUUGUAUUCAACUUUUCAAUAACUUGUAACCAUGCUUCUUUACAUAUAGUAAUUGCAUUUGUUAUUCUACCUAAUUUAUGAAAAAUCUCAAAUUCACAAUUUAUUAUUCACAAGCCAAACAACCAAUUUAUUAUUCCAACCAACCAAUUUAUUAUUCACAUGCCAACCAAUUUGCUUUAUUGAAGUUAUUAUACUUAUAAGCUUUCACAUAUAACCAUGCUUCUUUACAUAUAUUAAUUGCAUUUAUUGUUGUACCUCAUGAAAAUUUUCAAAUUUGCAACAACAUAUUAUUCGCAUGCCAACCAACCUCUUUUUUUUUAUUAUUGAAGUUAUUAUACUUAAAAGCUUUCACAUGUAACCAUGCUUCUUGUAACACUUUUCAUUGGAUCCGAUCAUUGGGUCCGAUCUACAGAACGCUACAGUCAUUAUCAAAGCAACUACAGUCAGAAUUACGAUAAGAUAAUUUUUAUUUAAACGUCAAUCACGAUUCAAUUACAGUAAUACAUUAAUUAUGAGCUUUAAUCGAGCUUACGAAAACUUUUUUGGCAGUCCGAACAAGAAUUAGGACCAAACUGUAAAGAUUUGAAAAGUUUAGAGCGAUACUGCGACUUCAGCUUUUCCUCAUCGCAACAUGACCAUCUCAGUAUGUCACAUCAUAUCAAAAAGCCUAUGCUCGUCGCGGCGAGACUCUCUGACUUGGCAAUGUCGCAAUGUCAAGAUUCGUAGCCGUGAUGUGAACCCUAUAUUUGACAAAAAUAAACAAUUUGGUAUCUAAUUCAAAGCUCCAACUAGAAUUAUGCAAGAAAAAUACAUUACGUGCCAUUUCUAAAUGACUUAAAACUUACCUUAAACAUGCUAAGUAAGUUUAAACAUAUCAUUUCAAUUCCAUAGCAAUUCAUAUUACCAUUUCAUCAAUUGUAUUCAACUUUUCAAUAACUUAAACUAAAUAUCAACAAGUUAUACAAACAUCUACCAUUACCUUUAUCAUGCCAUAAUGAAUCAUUCCAUUUCAAACAAUCAUCACAUUAGUUCUUUCAUUUUUCUUUUUUAGUCAUCAUAUGCAAACCAACUUAAAUAGAUCACAUUCCAACUUUCUAAAUGCAUCAAAUAUUUCAUAGCAAAGAUCAUGCCAAGAACCCACAUGCAAAGUCAUUAUAUACCACAUUAAACUCAACAAAACUUUUACACAACCAAAGUCUACUACAAAUGUUUAUAUACAUGUCGCAAUCCUUGACUCAAAAUGAUAAAAAAUAAACUACCAAAUUGAUGAGAAAAUAGUUUAAGCUUAGAACAAUCCAACCGACGUGUUCUGCAAGGUAACAACCUAAAAGAAAAAAAGAAACAACGGGAUAAGCAUAUGAUAUGCUUAGUAAGCUCAUAUGGAAACUAAAACUUACCUAGAUCCAUUGAACAUAAAAAAUUACUCAAUAAGCUAUUGAAUUAAUUUUUCCUUGGCACUUAUAUACAUAUAGUACAUGUAACAACAUUGCAAGUCAAAAGUGUUAGAUACAAUGUUGAAUCAUAAUCCCAUCAACCUUUAAAACAUAAUCACAUAGCAAUCUACAUAUCAAAUUUCAUCAAUUUAUUUUUCAAUUCAAGAUUUAAUUCCAUUUCCAACCAUUUAAUCAUCCUCUGAUAAAACUAUAGUAAAAAAGACCUAGGUACAUGGGACUAUUUUGCUGACACUUUAACGAACUUUCUCACACAAGUUGAUUUUAUAUUAGAAUUGUUCACACAAGUUGACUUUGUAAUAAUUGCUCACACAAGCUAACUUUAUAUAAUGGAAUUGUUCACACAUCCUGACUUUGUAAAAUGCUCACACAAGCUGACUUUGUAAUACUUCCAUACAACUAAUAUUUAUGAUUCAAUUAAAUUCAAGACAAUUGUGCUAAAUUCUAACAAUUAUAUAUAUAUAUAUAUCCUUUUUUUCGGGAUCAUUCCAAAAAAAACCGUUUUUAAUUUUUGGUGCGGAACAAAAAAAAAGUGAAUUGAAUUUAAAGUUGGAUCGAGUGAAUAAAUGGAUAGAGCUCCACGGCCCCAAUUAUAGGGAAACAAAAAGUAACAAGCUUCUGUUCUCAAUUUGAAUAAUUACCUAAUCUAAUUAAACUUUAAAAAAAAAAUUAGUGCCUAAUGUGGUAAAGGUUUUUCUCAUGAGUAAAUUAUCGGUUUUUUUUUUGAGUCCUAAUUAUUAUUAUUAGGCAUUCCCUUUAUGGGUUAGCCAUGAAUGUGUAGAAGAAGCAGUAUAUUGAUAAAGAAAAUAACUUUUUUUCUAAAAUCAAAAGAGCGAUUGGGUUGAAAAAAUAAAGGAUUUCUAACCGUCAUAUAUGUUGAUUCAAAUAUAAUUCAUACCAAAAUAAAAUUGAUUAUUAAGUUAAAAUAAAAUUUAGGAUGUGAAAGAAGUUCAAAAAAAAAAUUAAUGCAAAAGAAAGAUAAGGGUAUUUUUUUUAGGUCAUGGAUGUAACAACGAAGCUCGGUUAUUGUUGGUGUUGUAUGGAAGAAUCGAAGAUGUAGUGAAUGAGUUUUUAGGGUUUUAAAGUUUAACAUUGAAAGAUUGUUGUUUGUGGGUAUGUGACUGUUUUCGAUGUAAGGAAUGGUAUAAAAAAAUUACGAUUUAGGGUUUUAUUAUAUAAAUAAAGAAAGCGCCUUUUAAGAUUGUUAGAGGCACCUAUCUUUGUUUUUAGUGUAUGUAUCAUGGUCCUGAUGAUGCGGUACAAGUUUAGUUCUUUUGAGUGUGUCUUGUGAUGUGAAGUCUGUUUUGUUGGGGCUCUUGGCUCCUAUGUUUCAAUGAUAAUAAAAUAUACGUCAAACAAAAUUCUCACAAAAAACAGAGUUUACAAAACGACUAGUAAACAACACUUACUUUGGUUGAUGUAUGGCAUAAUAAGUCUGCAAAGCACCAAGCAAAAGUGCAGUAAUGGCACCCACAAAUGCCAAAAACGUCCAAGGACUCCUAAAAUAAGUAUGAUAAGCUAGAGCUGCAUGCUUAAUCCGCAUAUUCUUACAAUGAUUAUGUAUUUUCCGUUUAACCCCACCGUAAAUCAUCGGACUAGGAACCAAAUCAGUGUUCAUCUUAUUGAAAAGGUUAGCCACUUCUUCAUCACUCCCCAAUCCGUUGUAUAGUAUGCCGGUGCCACUCAGGUCUUUAACAUCUUCGGCUUCAUCGAUCAAUAAAUCAAGGAAACACAUAUAUGAAGUGACAGUGAAAUCGUUUUUGAAAUCCGGGCACAUUUCGUAAGCUAUCAAGUUCAUGGUUGAAUCAUUGACGGCGAUUGGCGGUAAACAUAAUUUUCCAACGAAGAUACGGUUGAAACAGAUUCGUAGUAGAUUCAGUAGGUGAAUUGGACUUGCAGCUUCCACCAUUACCAUUUUCUAGAGCUAAAUCUGUGUCAAGUCAUCGAUUUAUAAGUUUAAUUGAUCCGAUGUAUUCAUAUUUGUUGAUUAAAUAAAUCAUUAAAAAUUUUGAUUUUAUUAUUUAGUUCAAUAAGUUUUUUUUUUUUUUUACAAUUCAACCUGAUUCUUAAGUCAAUCGAUCUAAUGACUUUCUUUAAACUCAUACCUCAAUUAAUUUUCAAUCCAAUAUAAUCCAAACAACAUUUCGUAAAAUAUAAUUUUAUUUUACCAUUUUGAAAAGUUGGAUUUGAAAAUGCACACUCAACAGGAUCAAUACAAAGGGACAGGCGAGGUCGUUCUCAAAAAUAGAAAAUUAUAUUUUCAUCCUUUUUAAAUUAUUAAAUUAUAAAUUUAUAUAAUAAAAUUACACUUUAACCUUUUAAAAUGAAAAAAAAAAUUGUUCAACCUUUUUAAAACUGAUGAAAUUAUAAAUUAAUAAAUGAAAAAAAAAGAGAAUGAGACGAAACUUGUUGAUCAAGCUAGUUGGAUAGAGAAUUAAGUAAAGGUGCUCAUGGGUAAGGUUGAACCCAAUAAAAGAUUUAUGCCUCAGCUUGGCCCACUCGUUUUAAUUUUUUUAAAUUUUUUUAAAUUUUUUUAAUAUAAUUUUUAAAUAUAUAUGAUACAUUAAAAAUACUAAAAAACAUUAAAAUAAAUAUUUCCCAACAAACUAAUUUUUUUUUAAAAAUAUGUAUACUUAAAUAACAUUAAAGUAGACACUGUAAAAUGGUAAUAAAAUAGGAAGAAAAUGACAAGAAACUAGCAUUAAAACAAUAAAAAAAUAACAUAUUUUUUUGUCCUUUUGUGAUUCGGGCUAGGGUUGGGCCAAAAAUGUCUUACCCGAGACUCGGCCUAUUUUCAAAACUAGAUUUUUUUUUGCCCAAGUCAAUUUUUUAGGUCUAUAUUUUUACUUAAACCCUUAUAUUUCUCGGACGAGCCAAAUGACCCAAUCUAUGAGUAAGUCUAGAAUCAAGCAAGAUACUGGUCCAGAAGAAAAGGAUAGACAAAUUGAAUCGAAUAGUAAAAUCGAUUUUUUUUAUAUUUUUAAUAUAACUUUAAUAUUUUUUAAGAUUCUAUAUAAUUUAAACGAAUGAACUAUUCAACCGAAAAUGAGGAUCUAAUCGAUUCCAUCACCUAGUUAUAAAAAUCUUUAACACUUAUAAACUCCACAAAAUAUUCUUUUUAAAAUUCCUUAAAUUACCUGUCCCGCUGAUGUGAUUGUGGCUCUUUUAUCUCGGCUGGGUUGACAACAGUGUCGUCGAUGAACCUUUUGAUUGAAUCCAUGAACUUUUUGCCAUCCCCCGAGCUUGUAAGCAAUUCAGGAACACGAAAAGGUGAUUGGUUUUCCAACAAGAACAGAUCCGAGUACACAAAUGUCAGCAAAUCGUUUUUAAUGAAAUUCGUUCGACUUACGAUCAUAAUCUUGGCCGUAACGCAUAUAAACUGCUUGUAAAAUUGCGCAGCCGUCAAUUCCUUUGGAUCAUAGCUUUUCUUCAAGCCAUCCGGCUCUGUCUUCAUGUUGUUGUACAAGGUAUCAUUAUCGAUGCCAAUUUUUUUAACGAAAUUUGCUGCUAAAUUGAGCUUGAGCUUCUCGGACUCGUGGAGGGUGGGAUCAUCGUGGUGGAGUGGGCCAAUUGAGAUCACUUUCGGCUUGAAAUAUUUCCGGAAAUCUUCGUCACGGCGAAGGGUUGCUGGGACUCUUUUGUCAAUAGUUUGGCUUUGGGGUCGAGAUGGUCCCCUUCGAAAGCUUCGUCUAAUGACCAGCAAUUCCGUGAUUCGCCAUUGCUGUGAGUGAAGUCUGUACCCGGUAUUGGAAUGAUCGUCUCUAGGGGAUUGUUGUUCGUGUUGUUAUUGAUGACUGUUUGAUCAGUGGAAACUACUCCACCGGGAGCUCUGACGGCGCCGCCUCCUUCUGUAACACCCCUAUACCAUGUUUGACUUAAGGAACCUAAUAUAAGAAUAUUACAUUUGAUGCCAAAGUAAUUCUUGGCUAAUUACUAUUAUAUUUGAACAUAAAAACAGACAAAUAAUAAAUUUAAAUAAUUUAUAUUUAAAUCCAUUACUACUACUUGGGACAUAAUUUUUUUUAAGUACAUGCCAUUCUAUUCAAAAUUUUAAAACAUACCCGUUGUUGCUUGAAGAUGUGAUGAGAUGAAAGCUUACAAUCUCAAAUUCGACUCUCAAAAAUUUAUGUACCUAAUUUGCGCAAGGAAACAAAUCGUACAAUGAGUAUACACCCAGUGUUAUUACUAUAAUUCAAAUACUUAAGGUAAAAACAAUAUAUAUACACAUUAAAUCUUACCACUAUUUUACCUUCAAUAAAUCAUUCAUGCAUUUAAACUUUAAAUUUAUUCUAAUAAUAUGUAUCUUAAAUAGCUUUUCUUUAUUUUAAUUUAUAUAUCUACUUAUUAUAUCAAUAUUCAUUUCAUGCAUUUCAUCAAUAACCAUUUCAUAAAACUAUUAUUUCAUAUAUUUCAUUUCUAUAUCCUAAUUCAAUAAUUUAUUCUAUUCCAUAUCUAAAACCUUACAACAUUAGUCUUUCAAUAAUUAUUUAAACCAACAUUUUUCAAUAAAAAUAAUUAUAAUUAAUUCAUAAGAUUAUAUCCAACUAACUCAUACACUAUUUCAUUAUUUCCUAUUCAUUCUAUUUUCACUUCUUAUUUCGAUAUCUCAAUUUCAAUUCACAUUUCAAUUCAUAAUUUCACUUUCUCAUACUUUCAAUAGCUCAAUCCAUCAAUUCAUUUGAUUUUUUCAUUUCAUUUAUUCAACUGAUUUCAAAAUCAAUAAUUCGAUAUUUUAGCAAAUUCAUGAACCUUAUGUUCAUGCUUCAAAUCUCGCAUCUUAAUGCCGUUCACAAUUCAACUCAUAAUUUCUUUCUCAUAUCUCUAAAAGUACGAUCAAUCAAAUUUAUUUAAUUUUCUCAUUUCAGUUAUUCACCUUAUUAACAAACCCGGACUUUGACGGAUACACGAAUUCCAACCCAAACACACCAGUACGGCAUAUUGUGCCUAAAACGGUACAUAGUACCUGAUCAGUAUACGACACAUAAGUGCCUGAAAUGACACACGAGGUGCCUAAUAUGACACACGAGGUGCCUGAAAUACGCAAAGCCGAUAUAUCCCGGACUCUUAUAAAUCCUAUGGCAUGCCAAUUAUAUCCGACUCAGCCCGACUAGAUAAUAGGGUAUUUCAAUUCUCAAUUCACUUUCAUUUCCAAUUCAAUAUCACUUUUCAAUUACAAUUUCUCAUUCAAAUCAAUAUACAAUUCAAUUGUACAUACACAUUCAUCAUUCAAUUCAAUUCUCAUUCAUUUCAAAAUCAAUUUUUCACUUUCUAAUCAAUAAACAAUUCAAUACCAAUACAUAUUUCAGAUAAUCACAUAUAAUCAUAUUUCGAUUCAAUUCAAACCACUUUUCAAUCAAUACACAAUUCACAUAUUCACACAUAUUCAUAAAUUAAUUCACUUUUAUUUAAUUCAUAUUUUUAAUUCAUUUUCCAAUCAAAUUCAAAUCACUAAUUACUUUUCAAUCAAUAUACAUUUCAAAUACUCACAUAUUUUCUUCAUUCAAUUCAAUUUGAUUCAAUUAAAAUCACUUUUAGUUUCCAAUCAAUAUAAUUUCAAAUAUUCACAUAAUUCGUAAUUCAAUUACUUAAAUCACUUUUAAUUUCCAAUUUGUUCACAUUCAAUUUCAAUAGCCAUAAACAUUUUUGAAUCAAUUUCAUUCAAAUCAAUAUCAUCAUUUCAAUUGCUUACCUAAUUUUAUUUGCCAUGCAUUUUAAUUCAAAUAUAACAAUUAAUAAUAAAUAGAUUUGAAUUAUAGUAGUACAAACCCGGAUUUGUUCGAUUACUCCUCGAUAACGUUUCCUUUCUUUUCGGUGCCGAUGCCUCGAUUUCUUUGGUAACUACAAAAAUAAUAAUAAUAAUUUACACUUAUUAAUAACAGCACUAAUUUAUAAUAAUGAUUGAAUUUCUAUUCAAUUUAUAUCCUAAUUCCAAUUUAAUCCUAAUUAACUCAUUUACUUUUAUAAUUCAAUUCAUACUUCAUUUCGAUUCAAUUUCCUUCCAUAUUUCACUUAACUAUCUAAUGUUCAUAAUAAAAUUAUAAUUUAAAAUUUCUUUCAAUUUAGUCCUUUCAACACAAAACUUAUAGCUUCUUUUACAAUUCAAUCCCUUACCAAAUAUAACUUGAAAUUCAUUCAAUUAAAUCCCUAAUUCAUCUUUUUGUUCAACAUGAACUAUACUUAUAAACCUAUGAACUUUCAAAGUAUCAACUUAAUUUCAUCAAAACCUUGUUCUAAAGCUUGUAAAACAUCAAAAUUAAGUAAAAAUGACUUAAUUGACUUACCUAUUAAAGUUUUAACCUUCAAACCCUAGUUUUUCCCCAUUUUCUUUUCUUUCCCUUUUCUUUCUUCUUGUUUUCGAAUGGCUUCUGCUAUUCUUUCUUUUGCUUUCUUUCUUUAUUUCAUUUCAUUUAUAUAUAUAUAUAUAAUAUUAGUUAAUAAUGAUAAUAAUGAUAAUAAUAAUUAUAAUAAAUAUCUUUUAAUAACACAUAUUUACAUUACAUUUGUCACCACUUAAUUUGUUUAUCGUACACAAAAAUCUUAUAAUAUAAUUAUUUAAUUAAUAACUAUCUUUUACUUAAUUUUCAAGUAAAUAAAUAAAUAUAAUACAAAUGUAUAUAUUUACAUUAUUUCAAUUGUCACUAUCCAAUUUUUUUAUUAGUUAUCUAAUAAAUAUCUUUUACUUAGUAAUAAUAAAUAAUAAAUAUCUAUUUACUAAUUAAAUAUAAGUAUUACAAAUGUACAUAUAUUUUUUUUACAAGUGUACAAUAUCAUCACCACCCAUUUGGCAAAAUUUUGAUUUAUUCAUAUAAUAUAAUAUAAUAUUUUUAAUUUAUAACUAAUAUAAAUUGCCAUAUAAUAAAAUAAUUAUAUACAUAAUAAUUUAAUAAUAAUUAAACAAUAAAAAUUUUAGAUUUUUAUCAACAUUUGCCGCCUCAUUUAUGGUGAAUGGUAUAUUUUCCAUUUUGGUCCCCCUUUCUUUUUAUUAAUCUAAUUUAGCCCUUAAUAUUUAUAAUUUUACCAAUUUGAUUUUUAUUCUUUUUAGUUAAAUUUAAUUCUCUACCUAGUGUCAAAUUUGACUAUUGAUCUUUUAGAAAAUUGUCGAAUUAAUGUUUUGUUCUUUGCUUUCAAUUUGGUUCUGUUCUUAAGCAAAUUUCUGCUUUGUUUCUUCUCCAAGUCACGAGUCUUGUUGUUCAAGUCAUAGCUGAACUAGCUUGCUUGUUGUUCAUAACACCAACAACCUGUUCUCGGCUGGGUUGAUAACAGUAUCAUCGAUGAACCUCCGGAUUGCAUUCAUGAACAUUUUGCCAUCACCCAAGCUUGUAAGCAAUUCAAGAACACGAAAAGGUAAUUGAUUUUCCAACAAGAACAGAUCCGAGUACAAAAAUGUCAGUAAAUCAUUUUUAAUUAACAAAUUACCAUCAUCAUCAUCAUUAUCGUAACGCAUGUCAACUGCUUGUAAAUUUGCGCAGCCGUCAACGAUGAACAUCCAAGCCAGUUCCUCGUUAUCGUCUCUAUACUUCUCUAAUUCCUGUGGAUCAUAGCAUUCCUUCAAGCUAUCCAUCUCUUUCUUAAUUUUUCUGUACAAGGAUUUCUUAUCGACGCCAAUUUUUUUGACGAAAUGUGCUGCUAAUUUGAGGUUGAGCCCCUUGGAUUCACGGAGGGUGAGAUCAUCGUGGUGGAGUGGGCCGAUUGAGAUCACUUUCAGCUUGAAAUACUUCUUGAAAUCUUCGUUACGGAGAAGGGUUGAUGGGACUUUUUGUAUUAAUGGUUUGUAUCUAAGGGUGGGUUGGCCACCAAAAGCUUUGUCUAAUGACUGGAGCUUCGCUACUUCGCCAUCGCUGAGAGGGACGUCGGUGAACCACAUAUCAAUUCCCACGUAAUCGUUGUUGGUGUUGUUGUCGAUGAUUGUUUGAUUAGUGGAAACUGCUCCGGCGGCGCUGCCUCCUUCCUCCAUGGACGACAUUUUCAGGCUGACCGGCUCGAAGUAAUUAACAAGGUGAUUUUGAAAACUUGUUUUGGCUGAUUGAGUGAUGUUGGAAAAAAGGUGGCAAAAUGGCUACGAUGAUAACAAAUCUUCUAUAGCUUACAUAAAGAGGCGAAUAUAGGGGAAUGUAAAAUUGUUAUUUAGGCCCUUAAUAUUUUUUAAAAUUUUAAAUUAGUAAAAGUGAAAUUACAUUUUGGCCUUAUAAAAUUAUAAAAAUUCAAUUUAAUCUUUUAAAAAUUAUAAAGAUAUAGACUACAAAAAAUUAAAAUCUCAUUCGAUCCACCCUAAAAAAUUAUUCGGGCUUCGCCACUGCUUACAUAAUAAACAUAUGGAAAAUACUUUUGGUGUAAUUCAAAUUUACCCCUUAUAGUCAAUUUAAUUUUCAUUUUUUUAAUUUAAUUUUCUAUCUUUUGGAAGAGUUGAAUUUAACUAUCAAUUUAAAUUAAUAUUUUUUAACGAAAAUAGUGACUAAAAUAUUAAAAUAUUAAACAUGACAACUCAAACGGCAAUCCACAUCUAUAUGUUUUUUUUAUUUAUUUCUUAUUUUUAAAUUAUUUAUUGAUGUGACAUAUAAUAAAAGUAUUGUUAUAUUAGCAUGAAGUACACAUGGAAGGCCACACGAGUUGUGACACCAAUAUCGUUAAAAAUUAAUAUUUUAGUUAGCAUAUCUGUUAAAGAAAAGCAAAUGAACUCUUUUUUCAAAGGUUAAUGGCUAAAUUUAGCUCAAAUGAAAAAAAAAAAAGGCCAAUUUGAUAAAAAAGGUAAAUGUCAAGAGUUAAGUUUAACAUUUAUACAAGUACAAAUAUAUGUCUGGAUUAAUCUAGAAAGAACAAGACAAACUCUACAGGUGAUAUACAAAUGUGAUGAGAGUGGAACCUGCACAUCACAAUUGAGAAUAAUAUUAUAGAACCUAAAUACUCAAAAACCUAAAACCUUCCCCUUAACCAAGAAGCUAAGACGCCAUGGAUAAUUUUAUAUCUACAACACUUAUGAAUUUCAUAUGCUUAAUAAUAGUUUACAAAAAGACAAGUAAAGAACACUUACUUCGGUUGAUGUAUGGUAUAAUAAGUCUGCAAAGCACUAAGAGUAAGUGCAGCAAUGGCACCCAAAAAUGCUAAAAACGUCCAAGGACUCCUAAAAUAAGUAUGAUAACCUUGAGCUGCAUGAUUAAUCCACAUAGUCUUACAAUGAUUAUGUAUUUUCUCUUUAACCCCACUGUAAAUUGUCGGACUAGGAACCAAAUCAGUGUUCAUCUUAUUGAAAAGCUUAGCCAUUUCUUCAUCACUGCCCAAUCCAUUGUAUAGUAUGCCGGAGUCUCUAAGGUCUUUAACAUCUUCGGCUUCAUCGAUCAAUAAAUCAAGGAAACACAUAUAUGAAGUGACGGUGAAAUCGUUGUCGAAAUCCGGACACAUUUCGUAAGCUAUUAAGUUCAUGGUUGAAUCAUCGACGGAGAUCGGCGGUAACCGUAAUUUUCCGAAGAAGAAGAUAUGGUUGAAACUGAUGUCGGUUAAAUUACUUGUUUCGCUGGCUUCUAACCAUAUCCCGGCCUUUUUAAGCUCUUUUACGUUACCAAUGGUGCGUGAAUGGUACCGUUUUGUUCUUUUUCUUCUUGCUGCUGCUUUGCCAAAUCCGUGUCGAGUGAAUUCCCAAAGAAAACACCAGCACCGUAUUCGUACUUUUCUGAGAAGGAGUCUUUCUCGUAGUAGAUGCAAUAAGUGAAUUCGCUCUCCUUCUUUUUGCUGCUUCCACCACCAUUCCCUACACCAAAAUCUGUGUUAGUCGGAAGCCAAGCUACAAUUUCUCUUUUCUCUUUUCUUUUUUUCUUUUUUGUUGUUAAUACAAAAAUAUUAAAAAUCAAUCUAUACUUGUUAAUCAAGUUGGUUGAAUAAAAAAUUAAAUAAAAUUGAAGUUAUACCAAUUGAAUUAAAGAAUGGAAUAAAUUUCUUUUUAUAUUUUUAAUAUUUUUAAAAAUUUAUAUAAUUAAACUGAAUUAACUAAUCAAAUGGAAAAGAGAGUCUAAUAGAUUCCAUCACCUAUGUAGUUAUAAAAACCUUUUAACAUUUAUAAACUCCACAAAAAUGAUUCUUUAUUUAAUUCCCUAAAUUACCUGUCCUCGCCUGGGUUGAUAACAGUUUCGUCGAUGAACCUUUGGAUUGCAUUCAUGAACUUUUUGCCAUCCCCCGAGCUUGUAAGCAAUUCAAGAACACGAAAAGGUAAUUGGUUUUCCAACAAGAACAGAUCCGAGUACACAAAUGUCAGCAAAUCGUCUUUAAUAAACAAUUUACCAUCAUCAUCAUCAUCAUCAUCAUCACCGUAACGCCUGUAAACUGCUUGUAAAAUUGCGCAGCCGUCAACGAAGAAAAUCCAAGCCAGUUUCUCGUUAUCGUUGCUAUAGUUCUCUAAUCCCUUUGGAUCAUAGCAUUUCUUUAACUCAUCGAUCUCUGUCUUCAUGUUGUUGUACAAGGUAUCCUUAUCGACGCCAAUUUUUUUGACGAAAAGUGCUGCUAAUUUGAGCUUGAGCUUCUCGGAUUUAUGGAAGGUGGGAUCAUCGUGGUGGAGUGGGCCGAUUGAGAUCACUUUCGGCUUGAAAUACUUACUGAAAUCUUCGUGACGACCAAGGGUUGAUGGGACUCUUUGUAUCAAUGGUUUGGCACGGAGGUCGAUUUCGUCGCCGUCGAAAGCUUCGUCUAAUGACCGGAGAUUCACUACUUCGCCAACGCUGAGAGGGACGUCCAUAUCAAUGCUCACGGAAUCGUUGUUGUCGGUGAUUGUUUGAUCAGUGGGAGCUGCUCCGACGGCGCCGCCUCCUUCCUCCGUGGAGGACAUUUUCAGGCUGAGCGGUUGGAAGUAAUAAACAAGGUGAUUUUGUAAACUGUUUUUGGCAGAGUGAGUGAUGUUGGAGAAAAGGUAGCAAAGUGGAUAAGAUGAUGACAAAUAUUUUGUAGCUUACAUGAUAAACAUAUAUGGGAAAUACUUAAGGCGUUAGUGUUUAUAUUUUUACUAAUAUAAACAAUGAUAAAAAAGAAAAGUUAAAUAGUGACAAAUACUAAAAUUGAGAAUAAUAUUAUGGAACCUAAAUACUCAACACUACUCAAAACCUUCGCCUUUAACCAAGAAACUAAGACCCUAUCUGAGGGAGAAUUUUAUAUCUACAACACUUCCUAAAUUUCAUUAGCUUAAUAAUAGCUAUUCAAAUAUAUUUUUUCAUUUUAUUACUGACUUUAAUAUUUAAAUUAUCAUUAUAUUGCAUGAUUUAUUCCAAAUAUUUACAUAUAGUAAUUGCAUUUGUAAUUCUACCUAACUAUGAAAAAUCUCAAAUUUGCAACAUGUUAUUCACAUGCCAACCAACCAAUAUAUUAUUCCUACCAACCAAUUUAUCAUUCACAUUCCAACUUUCUAAAUCCAUCAAAUAUUUCAUAUUCAUGUACUAACAAAGAUCAUGCCAAGAACCCACAUGCAAAGUCAUUGUAUAGUACCACAUUUAACUCAAUCGGACUUUUACACAACUAAAGAUUACUCCAAACGUUUAUAUGCAUGUCACAAUCCUUCACUCAAAAUGAUAAAAAAAACUAUUAAAUUGACGAUAAAAUAGUUUAAGCUUCGACCGAUUCAACCGACGUGUUCUAGCAUAUAAUAUGUUUAGUAAGCUCAUAUGGAAACUAAAACUUACCUAGAUCAAUUGAACAUAAAAAAUUACUCAAUAAGCUAUCGAAUUAAUUUUUCCCUGACACUUAUAUACAUAUAGUACAUCUAAUAAAAUUUCUGUUAAAGAAAAGCAAUUUGACUCUUUUUCUAAAAAGUUAAUAACUAAAUUUAGCUCAAAUAAAAAAAAAGAAUAAAAGUCAAUUUGAUAAAAAAUAUAAAUAUUAAAAAUUAAAUUUAUCAUUAUAUCUUUUUUAAGUAAUUAUUUGUGGUGAGCCAUCAUGUCUGACGAUGAUUUUUAAAUACUGUAUUAAUUAUAUAUAGCACAUCAUAUUUCACUAUAAUUUCUAUAGACUUUUUAAACAUGGGGUUAAUUGUUUAUGGCCCAUUGCCCAUGUUGCUUUUAUUAAAUUUUGGGUGAACUUCUCAUUUUGGUCAAAAAAAAAUUGUAUUCUCAGUAUAAAACAAAAAACUAAUCUUUAAUGUUUAUGGCCAAACCCCACCUCUCCUAUCCUAUAAUAAUGGUUCUUGGCUUCUUCUAUCCUACACCUCAAUUAUUUGGAUUAGAUUGAAAAACAAUUGACACUUGAUUUGAUUGUGAAAUAAAGUUAAAUUUUAAAUUUAUAAUAUUUAAUUUGAGUGUGAAUGAAUUUUUGACUUAAUUGAAAAUUUAAAAUUUUAAGUUCGAGUCGUAUUUAAUUAUGUGUGUAUAUCGUGUAUAAAUUUUGUUCAAAUUUAUUUUGAUUUAAUUUUCAUACUAUAUAUUCUUAAUUAAAUUCGGAAUAUAUUUUGAUUAUCAAUUUAACCAUACAUUGUAACGAUGGAUUAAAAUUAUAGUUAAUUAUAUAUUGAAACUAAAUAAUUAGUUUAAGGAAUUAAAAGAUAUUAUUAUAUUUUAUAAAAUUUGAAUAGAUUCAUAAUUAAUUCGAGAUUAAAAAAUGGGAGAAGAAAAGCUAAAACCAAACCUUUUUUACGGUUGGAACUAAACCCCAUGCGGUGUGGAAAAUUGCAAGUUUCCAGAAUAUACCUACACUUACUAAUUAUAAUAAAUAUCUUUUACUUAGUAAUAAUAAAUAAUAAAUAUAUAUUUACUAAUUAAAUAUAAAUAUUACAAAUGUACAUAUAUUUUGUUUACAAUUGUACAAUAUCAUCACCAUCCAUUUGGCAAAUUUGAUUUGUUCAUAUAAUGUUAAUUUAUAACUAAUAUAAAUUACCGUAUAAUAAAAUAAUUAUGUACAUUAUAAUUUAAUAAUAAUUAAACAAUAAAAAUCUUAGAUUUUUUAUCAACAUUUGCCGCCUCAUUUAUGGUGAAUGGUAUAUCUCCCAUUUUGGUCCCCCUUUCUUUUUAUUAAUUCUUUUUCCUAAUUUCUCCUAAUUAAGCUAAAUUCACUUAAUUAAAUCCUAAUUAAACACACAACUAGCCUCACAAAUAUUCUUAAUAAAACAUUUACAAACUCGGUUUACUAAGACAGAAGCCCUAUAACUCACUUUUUCGGUGCCCGUGAAUUUUGGGCCAUUACACAUUCUUCCGUGGAUAACAUUUUUAGGCUGAGCGGUUCGAAGUAAUUACCAAGGUGAUUUUGUAAACUGUUUUUGGCUAAGUGAGUGAUGUUGGUGAAAAGGUGGCAAAAUGGCUACAAUGUUUCUAUAGCUUAUAUAUAAUGAACAUACGGAAAAUAUUUUUGUGUAAUAUCAAAUUUAGCCCUUAAUAUUUAUAAUUUUACCAAUUUGAUUCUUAUUCUUUUUAGUUAAAUUUAAUUCUCUACCUUUUGAAAGUGUCAAAUUUUCUUGGCUGGAAGCUCACUGCAUGGAAGCCAAAAUCAAAACAAACUUUUGAUGGUUUAAUUGUUUUUGAGCCCUUCAAUUUCAGGUGCUAUGAGAAAUGGAUUACAACCUCAUCUUGUCGUUAUCCCAAAAUCAAAACAAGCAACUCUUGGUUGAAAGUUGAAACCAAGGGCCAAGUCAAAAUUGUUUUAGGAUGAGUCCAAAAUGAAUAAUGAAUUUGAAGGUUCAAAAUAAAAUUUUAUUAAUAUAUAAAUUUAUAAUUUCAUAAAUUUUAAAAGGAUUAAAUGAUAAAUUUACUAAUUUAAGAAGACAAUAGGGAUGGUCAAAUAUUCUAAUUGAACCUAUCUGCGAUCGGAUCGGGAUGGAUUUUUUUAAUUAAAAAAAUUAAAUAGAUUGAAUCGAAAUUCUAGGAGUUACAAAAUUCUCAUAAAUAACAAGAGUUUACAAAAAGUACACUUACUUUGGUUGAUGUAUGGUAUAAUAAGCCUGCAAAGCACCGAUAAAAAGUGCACCAAUGGCACCCACAAAUGCGAAAAACGUCCAACGAGUCCUAAAAAAAGUACGGUAAACUUGAGCUGGAUAUGUAAUCCACAUAUUGUUAUGAUGAUCAUGUAUUUGCAGUUUAACAUGUCUGUAAAUCAUCAGACUAGGAACCAAAUCCAUGUUCAUCUUCUUGAUAAGCUUAGCCACUUCUUUAUCACUCCCAAAUCCAUGGUAUAGUAUGCCUGCGUCUCUCAGUUCCUUAACAUCUUCGGCUUCAUCGAUCAAUGAAUCAAGGAAACCCAUAUAUGAAGUGACGGUGAAAUUGUUGUAGAAAUCCGGACAAUUUCGUAAGCUAUUAAGUUCAUGGUUGAAUCAUCGACGGUGAGAGGCGGUAACCGUAAUUUUCCGACGAAGAAGUAAUGGUUGAAACUGAUGUCGGUUAAACAACUUGUUUCGCUUGCUUCUAACCAUAUCCCGGCGUUUUUAAGCUCUUUUACGUUACGAAACGGGUGUGAAUGGUGAGGUUUUAUUCUUGUAUGGUUUCUGCGAUUUGUGAAGGAUAUGCAAAACCUAGAAGGCCAUGGUUUUUCUUUUUUGAAAAGGAGUCUUACUCGUAGUAGAUGCAAUAAGUGAAUUGGCUCUUUAUUUUUUUCUUGCAGCUGCUGCCACCAUUCACUAGAGCAAAAUCUGUGUUAGUCGGGAGCAAGCUAAAAUUAAGGUUUUCAAUGGUUGAAUCAAAUCAUUAUUAUUUAAUAAAAAAUUAUUUAAAUUAUUAAAUUACAUUUUAAUCCUUUUAAAAAUUAUUAAAUUAUAAAUUUGUAUACAAUAAAAUUAUAUUUUGACUCCUCAAAAUGAAUAAAAAAUUGUUUAAACACUUUUAAAAAAUGAUGACAUCAUAAAUUAAUGCAAAAAAAAAAUCUAAGAAUUAAACCAAACUUGUCUAUCGGCCUAAUUAAACAGAGAAUCAAGCAAGGUACUAAUCCAGAAUAAUAAAUUAAAUCCAUUGAAUCUAAUCAUCAAAUCGAUUUUUUUUAUAUUUUUAAUAUAUCUUUAAUAUUUUUAAAAUUUUAUAUAAUUGAAUCGAAUAAACUAAUCAACCAAAAAUGAGACUCUAAUGGAUUGUAUCACCUAUAUAUGUAGUUGUAAAAAUCCUUUUAACAUUUAUAAACUCCACAAAUUGAUUCAUUUAUAAAUUCCUUAAAUUACCUGUCCUGCUGAUGUGAUUGUGGGUCUUUAACAGUGCCGUUGAUGAACCUUAUGAUUGCCUCCAUGAAUUUUGUGCCAUCCUUCGAUCUUGUAAGCAAUUCAAGAACACGAAAAGGUAAUUGGUUUUCCAACAAGAACAGAUCCGAGUACACAAAUGUUAGCAAUUCGUUUUUAAUAGAAAAUUCGUUCGACGUACGACAACGAUCUUGGCCGUAAAGCAUAUAAACUGCUUGUAAAAUUGCGCAGCCGUCAACGAAGAACAUCCAAGCCAGUUUCUCGUUAUCGUUGCUAUAGUUCUCUAAUCCCUUUGGAUCAUAGCAUUUCUUUAAGCCAUCGAUCUCUGUCUUCAUGUUGUUGUACAAGGUAUCCUUAUCGACGCCAAUUUUUUUAACGAAAAGUGCUGCUAAUUUGAGCUUGAGCUUCUCGGAUUUAUGGAGGGUGGCAUCAUCGUGGUAGAAUGGGCCGAUUGAGAUCACUUUCGGCUUGAAAUACUUACUGAAAUCUUCGUGACGACCAAGGGUUGAUGGGACUCUUUGUAUCAAUGGUUUGGCACCGAGGUCGAUUUCGUCGCCGUCGAAAGCUUCGUCUAAUGACCGGAGAUUCACUACUUCGCCAACGCUGAGAGGGACGUCCAUAUCAAUGCUCACGGAAUCGUUGUUGUCGGUGAUUGUUUGAUCAGUGGAAACUGCUCCGACGGCGCCGCCUCCUUCCUCCGUGGAAGACAUUUUCAGGCUGAGCGGUUGGAAGUAAUAAAGAAGGUGAUUUUGUAAACUGCUUUUGGCUGAGUGAGUGAUGUUGGAGAAAAGGUGGCAAAGUGGAUAAGAUGAUGACAAAUGUUUUAUAGCUUACAUGAUAAACAUAUAUGGGAAAUACUUAAGGUGUAAUUCAAAUUUACCCUUAGUGUUUAUAUUUUUACUAUAAUUUUAAUUUUUUAAUUAAAUUUAUUUCUCUUUUGAAAGAGUCAAUGAUAAAAAAAGAAAAGAAAAGUUAAAUUAAUGUUUUUUAACAAAAAUAGUAACAAAUAUUAAAAUUGUGAAUAACAUUAUAGAACUUAAAUACUCAACGCAACUCAAGAAACUAAUGGUGGGUCUGGAUGGGCAGUGCGGUGCGGUGCGUUUAGCCUACUUUUUGUCUCAUACUACAGUGUUGCUACAGUAUCUAAUCUCACCGCCACCACUGUUUUUACACUAACCACAGGUAAACGCACCGUCCAUCCAAACUCACCCUAAGACCCUAUCAAAGGGAGAAUUUUAUAUCUACAACACUUCCUAAAUUUCAUUAGCUUAAUAAUAGCUAUUCAAUUUUUUUUUUCAUUUUUUUACUUAAAUUAUUUUUACUUACUUUAUAUUAGAUAAAUUAUUCCAAAUAUUUAAUAUUUUACAUAUAAUAAUUGCAUUUGUUAUUCUACCUAACUCAUGAAAAAUCUCAAUUUUGCAACAUCACAUGCCAACCAACCAAUUUAUUAUUCACAUUCCAACUUUCUAAAUGCAUCAAAUAUUUCAUAUUCAUGUACUAACAAAGAUCAUGCCAAGAACCCACAUGCAAAGUCAUUGUAUAGUACCACAUUUAACUCAAUCGGACUUUUACACAACUAAAGAUUACUCCAAACGUUUAUAUGCAUGUCACAAUCCUUCACUCAAAAUGAUAAAAAAAAAACUAUUAAAUUGACGAUAAAAUAGUUUAAGCUUCGACCGAUCCAACCGACGUGUUCUAGCAUAUAAUAUGUUUAGUAAGCUCAUAUGGAAACUAAAACUUACCUAGAUCAAUUGAACAUAAAAAAUUACUCAAUAAGCUAUCGAAUUAAUUUUUCCUUAGCACUUAUAUAUAUAUAAUACAUGUAACAACAUUUCAAGUCAAAAGUGUUAGAUACAAUGUUGAAUCAUAAUCCUGUCAACAUUUAAAACAUAAUCACAUAGCAAUCUAUAUACCAAAUUUCAUCAAUACCAGUUCAUUUUCAAUUCAAGAUUUAAUUCCAUUUCCAACCAUUUAAUCAUCCUCUGAUGGAACUACAGUAAAAAAGACCUAGGUACAUGGGAAUAUUUUGCUGACACUGUAACGAACUUACUCACAAAAGUUGACUUUAUAUUGGAAUUGUUCACACAAGUUAACUUUGUAAUUUAUAUAAUGUAAAAUUUAAGAUUUUUAUAUUAUGUAAAUCAAAGCUUAAUAUUGCAUAACUAAUUAGUUUUGAGUUUUCAAAAUAAUAUGGCUUUAUAAAGAUAUAGAAUUCUUGAUAUAAGUCUUAACAAGGGAAAAUUUAAGGAUAGGAAAAUUGUGGUGGAAAGGGGGUCAAUUUCUCCUAAACAGGUGGAGAGCUGGAGAAGGGUAAGAGAAGGAAGAUGGUUGAUGUGAAGGCUAAGAGUAAUUGUUAAAGGUUGCUAACAGGGAGGAUCCCUUUCUCAUGAAGAUGAUUUUUAAACACCGUGUUAAUUGUUUAUGGGCCAUCAUGUUUGACGAUAAUUUUUAAAUACUGUGUUAAUUGUAUAUAGCACAUCAUGUUUGACAAUAAAUUUUAAAGACUUUUAAACGUCGCAUUAAUUGUUUAUGGCCCAUUGCCCAUGUUGCUUUUAUUAAAUUUUGGGUAAACUAUAAGUUAAUCACUUAAUUUUUAUAAAAUUUCAUUUUGGUAAAAGAAAAUCUCAGGAUAAAACAAAAAUUAGGAUAAAUGUAAUGUUGAAAUGAAUAUAGUGGGAAUCUUUAAUGUUUAUGGCCAAACCCCACCUCUCCUAUCCUAUACUUCAUCUAUCAUAAUGAUUCUUGGCUUCUUCUACAAUUGCCUUCACAAAAUGAAGCUGACAUUUGAGGUUGUCCUUCAUUUACUUUUGUUUUCUUCCUAUGAUAUAAAUGCAAGUAGAAUAUAAAUUAUACAUUUGUAAUUCCUCAAUUAUUUGGAUUAAAUUGAAAAACAAUCUCAAUUAUUUGGAUUAGAUUGAAAAAUAAUUGACACUUGAUUUGAUUGUGAAAGAAGUUUUAGUUUAAUGAAAUGAAUGAGUUAAAUUUUAAAUUUAUAAUAUUUAACUUGAGUGUGAAUGAAUUUUUGACUUAAUUGAAAAUUGAAAAUUUUAUAAAUUUUGUUUAAAUUUAUUUUGAUUUAAUUCUCAUAUUGUAUAUUCUUAAUUAAAUUCGGAAUAUAUCAAUUUAGUCAUACAUUGUAACGAUGGAUUCGAAUUAUAGUUAAUUAUAUAUUGAAACUAAAAAUCUUAGAUUUUUAUCAACAUUUGCCGCCUCAUUUAUGGUGAAUGGUAUAUUUCCCAUUUGGUCCCCCUUUCUUUUUAUUAAUCUAUAAUUCUACUUCUACCCCCAUUCAAUUUAGCCCUUUUUCCUAAUUUCUCUUAAUUAAGCUAAAUUCACUUAAUUAAAGCCUAAUUAAACACACAACUAGCCUCACAAAUAUUCUUAAUAAAUACUUACGAACUCGGUUCACUAAGACGGAGGCCCUAUAACUCACUUUUCUAGUGCCCGUGAAUUUUGGAUCAUUACACCUUCUUCCGUGGACGACAUUUUUAGGCUGAGCGGUUCGAAGUAAUUAACAAGGUGAUUUUGUAAACUGUUUUUGGCUGAGUGAGUGAUGUUGGUGAAAAGGUGGCAAAAUGGCUACAAUGUUUCUAUAGCUUAUAAAAUGAACAUACGGAAAAUCUUUAAUUAAGAUUUAAAUGUAUAAAAGUAUAAAUUAUAAUAGUAAAAUUGUACUUUAAUCUUAUAAAUCGCAAUACUUUAAUUUAGUUAUUUAAAAAAUUAGAAAUAUAUUAGUUAAUAUAAUGAUAAAAUUACGUUUUAACUUUAUCAAAAUUUAUAACUUAAUUUCAAUCCAAAUUCUUACUUCACCCUUAUUUCUGCACUAAUAAAAGUUAUAAUCUGUGUUAAAUAUCGGAUUAGUAUAUGGAUGAUAUUAAAAAUAUAUAUAAAAAUAUAAAAUCUCUAAAAGCUUAAUCAACACACAUUCAGGUGUACGCUUUUAUUAAACUUUGAUUUUUUUAGUACGAGAUUAUCUGGAUUCUUUAAAAUAAUGUUAUGGAUAAGUUUUUGUUUAAUGUAUUGAUUGGUUUUUUUUUUCCUUUUAGAUUUGAUGAAUGAUAGAUUUUUGUUUGUGAAGUUUAUCUAUGAAUAUUUAUAUAAUUAUUAAUAAUUUUAUAUUUAAAAUUUAUUUAAUAUUUUAAAAUUUUAUCGAUAAUUUUGAAAGGAUAUAUAAAAACAAAUCGAUAUUGAUAUGUAUCAAUUUCUGUAGAAAAACGGUGCGUCCAUCAGUGCAAUACUAACUACCUUGGAUAAGAAAACAUUUAAUCCUUAAAUUUGGCAACUUUUCUCAACUUAGUCAUUAAACUUUUUUUUUAUCUACACUAGUCUUCUAACUUGACAACUUUUCUAAAUUUUGAUGCAUGUGAUGACAUCGCAUUCUGAUUUUGUAUCAUAGGGGUGUUCGAAUUUCGAUUAAAAUUGAAUUAACUGACCGAACCAAUCUAAUUCAGUUAAUCAGUCAGUUAAUCAAUCUAGUUCUAUCAGAGGUCGGUUAAAAGUUUUUUGGAAUUUCGGUUAACGGUUAAUUCGAUUCGAAAUUAGGUAAUUAACUGAAUUACCCAAACUUAAUAAAUUAGACUUGUAGGCUAGGAAGCACAGACACGGCUCAUCCCUCCUCGUACCGGUAUCGUACGUGUGUCCGACACAGACACUCGACGGACAUGCCUAGAUACGUAUGGAACAAGCUGGAAUAUGCCAAAAAUUUUUUUUUUUAUUGCCAUAUCUUGCUGUAUCCGUGUCCUUAUUUUCUAAAAAUUACCAUGUUGCUGUGUCUGUAUCAUGUCGUACCCGUAUUGCGUGUCUGUAUCCAUGCUCCAUAGCUUGUAGGUAAGGGCCGAACAAAGAAUCCAGUAAGGCAGUAGUCUAGAAUAAGGAGUUAGACCAAUUGAAUCGAGUUAAUGAAUUGAUUUUCUUUAUAUUUUUAAUAUAUCUUUAAUAUUUUUAAAAUUUUAUAUGAUUUAACCGAGUGGUUAAUCAAUAAAAAUUGAGAGUCUAAUAGAUUUAAAAAAAAAAACCUUUUUAACAUAUAUAAACUCCAAAAAAAUAUUCUUUUUUAAAUUCCUUAAAUUACCUGUCCUGCUGAUGUGAUUCUGGCUUUUUAACAGUAUUGUUGGUGAACCCUACGGUUGCCUCCAUGAACUUUUUGUCAUCGUUCGAUCUUGUAAGCAAUUCAAGAACACGAAAAGGUAAUUGGUUUUCCAACAAGAACAGAUCCGAGUACUCAAAUGUCAGCAGUUCGUUUUUAAUAGACAAUUCGUUCGACAUAUGCUCAUAAUCUUGGCCAUCAACAUCAUCAUUACCGUAACGAUAUAAACUGCUUGUAAAAUUGUGCAGCCGUCAACGAGGAACAUCCAAGCCAGAUUCUCGUUAUCGUUGGUAUACUUAUCUAAUUCCUUUGGAUCAUAGCAUUUCUUCAAGUCAUCGAUCUCUGUCUUAAUGUUGUUGUACAAGGUUCCCCUAUCGACGCCAAUGUUUUUGACGAAAAGUGUUGUUAAUUUGCACUUGAGCUUCUUGGAUUCAUGGAGGGUGGGAUCAGCGUGGUGAGUGGACCGAUUGAGAUCACUUUCGGCUUGAAAUACUUCCUGAAAUCUUCGUGACGGCCAAGGGUUGAUGGGAGUCUUCGUAUCAAUGGUUUGGCUUUGGGGUCGAGUUGUUUGCCGUCGAAAGCUUCGUCUAAUGACCGGAGAUUCUCUAAUUCGCCAUUGCUGAGAGUGAGCUCCGUACCCGGCAUUGGAAUGAUCGUCUCUUGGGGAUUGUUGGUGGUGGUGUUUUUGGUGAUUGUUUGAUCAGUGGAAACUGCUCCGCCGGGAGCUCCGACGGCGCGGCCUCCUUUCUCCGUGGACGACAUUUUCAGGCUGAGCGGUUCGAAAAAAGGUGAUUUGGGAAACUGUUUUUGGCUGAAUGAGUGAUGUUGGAAAAAAGGUGGCAAAAUGGCUACGAUGACGACAAGUGUUUCUAUAGCUUAUAUAAUAAACGUAUGGAAAAUAUUUUGGUGUAAUAUUAAAUUUAACCCUUAAUAUUUAUAUUUUUUUAAUUUGAUUCUUAUUCUUUUUAAUUAAAUUUAAUUCUCUACCUUUUGAAAGAGCCAAAUUUGAUUACCAAUCUUUUAGAAAAGAGUUGAAUCAAUAUUUUUUAAUGAAAACAGUGAUUAAAAUAUUAAAUUUGUAAACAUGACAACUCAUAUGGUAAUCCAUGUGUACAUAUUUUUUAUUUUUUAUUUUUAAAUAAUUUGUUGACGUGUGACAUAUAAGAAAAGCAGUGCUAUGUUAGCACGAAGUGCACAUGGAUUGCCACACGAGUUGUAACACCAACACCGUUAAAAAUUUAAUAUUUUAGUUAAUAUUUUUGUUAAAGAAAAACAAUUUAACUCUUUUUUGAAAGGUUAAUGACUAAAUUUAGCUCAAAUAAUAAUAAUAAAAGAACAGAGGCCAAUUUGACAGAAAAAUGUAAAUAUCGAGGACUAAAGGCCAAUUUGAUAGAAAAAUGUAAAUAUCGAGGACUAAAUUUAUCAUUAUGUCAUUCUUUUUAAGGUUAACUUAUAUGAAUACAAUAUAAGUUCAAGUACAAAUAUAUGUAUGGAUUAAUCUAGAAAGAACUAGACAAAAUCCACACAUGAUAUACGCAUAUGAUGAGAGUAAAACUCACACAUCACAAUUAAGAAUAAUAUUAUAAAACCUAAAUACUCAGAGACUUAAAACCUUCGCAUUAACCAAAAAGUGAAGACCCCAUCAUAUGGAGAAUUUUAUAUCUACAUACGACAAUAUUUCUCGGAUUUCAUACGCUUAAUACUAGCUCUUCAAAUAUAUUCAUUUUUCAUUUUAUUACUUAAAAGUUAUUUUGAUUUACUUUAUAUUGAUUUCAAUCAUAUUGAUCCGUAGAUAUUGUUUCAAUAAGAAAUCGAAUUUUUUUUUUUUAAAUGAGAUGAUUUUGUUGUGGGUUUUUUAAAAUAGUGUUACGGAUAACUUUUUUGUUUAAUGUUUUGGUUGGCUUUUUUUUUUCUUUUUUUCGAAUUUUUGAAUGAUGAAUUUUGCAUGUAAAGAUUAUUGAUGAAUAUUUAUAUUUAUUUAAUUUCAUUCAUUUAAUGUUUUUAAAUCUUUUUUAUAUAUUAAAUAUUUUAGAAAUUUAUCGAUAAUUUCGAAAAGAUAUACAAAAACAGGCCAGUACUAAUAUGUAUCCGUUUUUGUAAAAAAAAUGUGCGUCCAUUAGUGUAGUACUAACUACCUUAGAUAAAAAACUGUUUAGUCCUUAAAUUUGGUAACUUUCCUCAACUUAGCACUUAAGCUUUUAUUUUAUCUACAUUAGUCUUCUAACUUUGACAGCUUUUCUCAAUUUCGAUGCAUGUGAUGACACAACACUAUGAUAUUGAGAUGCUAUCAUCUAAAAAUUAUAUUUUUAAUAAAAAUUAGGUGUUAACAUGGGAGAAAUAUUAUUAUAAUAACCAAAAAUGAGAAAAGUUGUCAAUUUUCAUGAUUGAUGUGGACAGUGGUGAAGAUAAGGGGCUGGUAGGGGCAGAAAUUUUUUUUUCAUUUACGUCCUUUUAUAAUUUAUAAAAUUUUAAAUUAUUAGUGGUAAAAUUAUAUUUUGUCACCCAAAAAUAAAAAAAAAUUAAUUUAAUCCUUUAAAAUGAUAAAGUUAUAGACUAUUAAAAUGGUAAAAUUACAUUUUUAUUAUCAUAAAAAUAUACAACUUAAUUCCGGCCCCUCCCAAAAAAAAUUUUGGCUUCGCCCCUGAAUGUGGACCAAAAAAGAAAGUCUAGAGACCAAAUUGAAAAAUUUUGUCAAAUUUAAGGAUUAAAUGUUGUCUUAUUAUUUUAUUUAACAAAAAGUGUGCUAUAUACACCAAAGUCUCGUAAUUGAAUAAUAAAAUUUUGAUGUUUUUAAGUAAAUCUUGAAUUUAAAUCUUAUGAAUAAAGAAAAUAAUACUAAAUAAAUUUUACUAUCUACUUACGAAUUCAACUCAAUUUCAAAUUUAACUACCAAAUAUCAAAGCUCUUAUAAAAAAAAAAAGGUAUUGUAAACUUUGUUGUAGUGUAUUUUAUUUUGAUCCAAAAUAGUGAAAAGGAAAUGCAUCCUAAAUUUAUUCAAACCAAAUUAUUAACUUUAAGUGUAAAUUGGGUAAGUGUAACAUAAUUGUUCUCUUUUUUUUUUUUAAUUUAGUCCUUUUCCUAAAUACAACAUAUAUUUUAUAAUAGAUAAUUGAAUUAAUUAAACCAUCAGUUCAUCGCUCAGUUCAACCUAAUGACGGAACGUAAGAGGAGAUUCCCUUCAAAAUUUUAGAAAAUUAUCACUAAAUUCUUCAAAAUAAUUUACAUUUUUACUUUUUACUUAGGACUCCUAAUUUUUUAAAAAUCCUAAUUAAGCCUCGCAAAAAGUGUUGAAAUUUUCAAAAAUUUCAAAACUUCUCGUUAAUUUUUUUUAAAAAUUUUGAUUAAGCCUCUUAAAUUUUAUUUUUUUUAAAAAAUCUCAUUAAACACUAAAAAUUAAUUUAAAUAGAUUGAAUCGAAAAUCCAGAAUUACAAAAUUCUCAUAAAUAACCAGAGUUUACAAUGAGAAUAGUAAACAACAAUUACUUUGGUUGAUGUAUGGUAUAAUAAGUCUGCAAAGCAGCAAUAAAAAGCCAGCAAUGGCACCCACAAAUGCGAAAAACGUCCAACGAGUCCUAAAAUAAGCAUGAUAAGCUUGAGCUAGAUAUUGAAUCCACAUAUUCUUACAAUGAUUAUGUAUUUUCUGUUUAACAUAACUGUAACUAGGAACCAAAUCAGUGUUCAUAUUCUUGAUAAGCUUAGCCACUUCUUCAUCACUCCUCAAUCUAUUGUAUAGUAUACCGGCGUCUCUCAGUUCCUUAACAUCUUCGACUUCAUCGAUCAAUGAAUCAAGGACACCCAAAUAUGAAGUGACGGUGAAAUCGUUUUUGAAAUCCAGACACAUUUCGUAAGCUAUUAAGUUCAUGGUUGAAUCAUCGACGGUGAUCGGCGGAAACCAUAAUUUCCCGACAAAGAACACAUGGUUGAAAUUUAUGUCGGUUAAACAACUUGCUUCGCUUGCUUUUAACCAUAUCCCGGCCUUUUUAAGCUCUUUUACGUUACGAAAGGUGUGUGAAUGGUGCAGUUUUGUUCUUGUUUGGCUGCUGCGAUUUAACGUGCACAUGAAACGAGUGCAAAACCUAUAAUGCCGCCAUGGUUUUUCUUUUUUUCCUUUUUUGAAAAGAAGUCUUUCUCGUAGUAGAUUCAAUAGGUGAAUUCGCUGCAGCCUCCAUUCACUAGAGUAAAAACUGUGUUAGUCGGAAGCCAAGCUACAAUUUCUUUUCUUUAUUUUAUUUUAUUUGGAAUUGUAAAUUUUUAUCAAAACUAAAAUUAAGGUUUUUAAAAUGGAUAGUAAAACCAGUCAAAACAUCUAUUUAUAAGUUUAAUUUAUCCGAUCAAUUCAUCCAAUUUGAUUAAAUAAAUUAUUUCAAAUUUCAAUUCGAUUGUCCGGCUUAAUUAAUUUAUUUUCCCGAUUCAACCUGUUCAUAUAGGUUCCCAAAUCAAUUAGUCUAAUAACUUUCUUUGGACUGAUACCUCAAUUAAAUUCCAAUCCAAUCCGAUUCAAACAACUUUAGCUAAAAUACAAUUUUUAUUAUUGUAUUAAUGCAAAAAUUUUACCAUUUUUAAAGAUAUAAUUUUUCCUUUUUGAAAAGGUGGAUUUGAACUAAUAAUUUGUUGGCUUAAGCGUCUAAAAUCCCUCGUUUGAAAAAGCAAUUAAACCUUCUUCUUCUUUUUUCAUUCAUUUGGGUGCUUGAACUUUUAAAAUACAUCAAAAAGGUCCUUAAACCUUUUUUUAAAUAAAAAAAAGCAAUUAAGCCUCUACUUUUUUUUGCACACAAUUGGGUACUUUGACUUUCAAAAUGCAUCAAAAAGACCCUCAAAUUUUUUCAAAAAAAAAAAGUUAAGCCCCUGCUUUUUAUUAAAAAUUAGAAAAAAUUUAUAAAAAGUUAAAAUUAAUAAAAGCUAUAAAUCUUGUCGAAACCGAUUUUUUGAAAAAAACAAAAUUUUUAGGUUGUCGACUUAAAAAAAAGAAAAUUGGGAGUCGCCACCAAUCUUUUAUUGAGGUGUGAUUGGAUCACCUAAAACGACUUUGGUUUACGAAUUUUAGAAAAACGGGUUCGGAAGUCGGUUACGUAUGAGGAAGGAUUAGCACCCUCAUUACGCCCAAAAAUUGGUACCUCGUUAAUUAAUUAAUGUCUUAAGGUCAAAAAUUUUAAAAAUAUAAUCUUUAAAAACUUAAAACGUUGCAUAUUAAGACCCUUUUCAAUUCAGAGAAGCAAAAAUGCUACACCCAAUACGUUAGGGAACAACAUUCUAAUUUCCCCCAAAAUGAAUUAGGUCAGAAUAUUUAUACAAUAAAACUUUAAAAGAACAUCCACUCAUCCAAGAUUUAAGAAAUCACACCCAAUACGUUAGGGCACGAUUCCUUUAGAAUCCCAAACUCGGAAUAUUUCCUUUACUUUAAAAGAACAUCCACUUAUCCAAGAUUUAAGAAAUCACACCCAAUACGUUAGGGCACAAUUCCUUUAGAAUCUCAAACUCGGAAUAUUUCCUUCAUGAUUUUUUUUUAAAAAAAUCUUCAUUUCGAGAAAUCAAUGCGUCACAUCCAAUACGUUAGGACACAACGUGUUGAAUUCCCAAUAAUGAGUUUUUAUUUUUUUGAUUGAAGAGAAAUGCUCGAUUGUCGGAUUUAACAAAAAAAAUCAGAACCCAAUACGUUAGGGCUCAAUUCCCUUGAAAAUCCUAAAUACGAAUAUUAUCUCAAUUUAAAAAAAUUUCUAUCUUUAAAUUUGAGUAAAAAAAUGAUGUAACAUGAUUUUAUACAUACAAAUGCUAUAAUAAUAAUAACAAUAAUAAAUACAUCAUCGACAUAAAAAUAAUAUAAACAAAUGAAUAAACAAAAUAAUAAAAAAAGGUAAUCCAUGACAUGCAAAAUAUUAAAUGUAAACACAAUCAUACAAUGGAUGGGAUAGCAUUUACAAAUAUACAUAUAAUUUACAAAUAAAAUUUUGGGUUAUAGAAUUUAUAUAUAAAUACAAUACAUAAUAUACUUAUGCAAAUAAAGAAAAAAUAUAAUUAUACGUACAUAUAUAAAAUAAUAAAAAAUAGGUAUAUUUUAAAAAAAGAAAAAGUGAGUAUUUAAUCAUUAAAAAACGUAAAUAUAUACAUAUAAAUAUGAAAAUAUUCAUUAAAAAAUAUAGGAUAAUAUUCGUUUUAAAAAAUAUAUAUACAUGUACAUAUAAAAGGAAUAUACAUGGAUAAAAAAAUUAAAUAAUGAGUACAUUAUCAAAAUUAAUUUUUUUAAAAAAAUAAAUAUACAUAUAUAUACAUAUAUAAAUGUGAGAAAAAUAUAAGUUAAAAAUAUGUGCAUAAAAUAUACAUGUAUAGAUUUUUAAAAAAAUAAAAAUAAAAAAUGAUUAUGUUAUUAAUUAAUAAAAUAAAUGAAAAGAACAAAAAAGGAAAAGAAAAACUAAAUUGAAUUGCAAUAAAAAAAACUGGGGUAAAUCCGCAAAUAAAUAAAAGUAAAAGGAUUAAUUUGAACGCGUGAAUUACAUAGAGGGGCUAGAAGGGAAAUUUUCCCUUCUCCUCUAAAACGACGCCGUUCAACUUAGACCCAAUUGAAAUAAAAAUAAAUAAAAGGGUAAAUCAAGAAAAAUAAAAAAAACUUAAUUACAAAAACAUUAAAAGGCGGAAGGGCUAAAUAAAAUAAAUAAAAUUCGCAGUGGUAUCACCUUCUCCCUCUUUAAAUUCAUAAAUAAGUAAAAUAAUCGAAAAAAAAAUAUAGUAAGCCACCUUUAAAAAAUUGCCAAUCGUUCUCUUUUUUAUUCCUCUUCCUCCUUUUUUUACAUUACAUUCAGUGGCUUUAUAUAGCCAUUCUAAAAAAAUCAUAUAAAGAAGAAACAAAUCUCUUUUAUUUGAUUUGUGAAUCUUUGAUUUCAUUUCCUUUUUUGCUCUUGCUUGAUAUGCUUGAUUUGAUUUUGCAAUCCUUGAUUUUCUUUCCUUUCUUGUUUGUUUCCUUGUAGGUGAAGAUCGAUGACGCUCGUGACUGCGGCGCAAAGUCUUCUUAGAAACCCUAGGGUUUCUGCAAAUGAUUUGAGUCACUGAAUUUGGGCCAUUUUCGAAAUUGGGCCACCGUUUUAAAUUGGUUUUGGGCCUUAUGGCCUGUUUGUAAUUUUAGGCCUUUUACCCGGGCCAAAAUCGGGUAUUACAGCUGCCCCUCUUUGCUCGUUGUCGUGUAACAAGAACAGAGCAAAGACUCAACACAACCCAAGAAAUUAAGACCCAAUAGGUUGUAAAUGAAUGAUGAAAUCAAUAGUUUGAAAUGAUGUGUAUUUGUAGUUUUAAUUUCUAUAUUAAGAAUAUGCAUGUUAGACUUUUUUAUGAAAAAUGCAAUAGAAUUUAUAUUUAGGUAAAGAGUUACAAAGAAUUUGUUACUAAAGUAAAAAUUAGAACAGUUAGAGAUUAUCGAUUAGAUAGGGAAACAUAUGGAUUUGAUGAUUAUUUUAGUUUUUAUAUUUUCAAAUGAAUAAUUGGAUGUAUUAGUUGAGAUGUACUAAAUGAUUUAAAUACAAUUUAUAAAUUUUGCUAAAAAACUUUAUUUGAUCAUGUUUUUUUUUUCCUAUCAUGCAAAUGGUAUGAUGUCCAGAUUAUCUGGUCUUUGACUUCAUUUGUCAAUUAAUGAUUGUGGAUUGACAACAUUGACCAUUCUAUGCACGGGGACUACUCAUGAUCUACACAUUUUCUGCCAUUCUCACUACCCAUUGCCAUUCAUUCUCACUACCUAAAUACUCAACACAACCCAAGAAAUUAAGACCCUAUCAGAGGGAGAAUUUUAUAUCUACAACACUUCCUAAAUUUCAUUAAGUUAAUAAUAGCUAUUCAAUUUUUUUUUCAUUUUUUUUACUUAAAUUAUUUUUACUUACUUUAGCAUUUAAAUUAGAUAAAUUAUUCCAAAUAUUUAACAUUGUAACCAUGCUGCUGUACAUAUAGUAAUUGCAUUUGUAAUUCUACCUAACUCAUGAAAAAUCUCAAAUUCGCAACAUGUUAUUCACAUGCCAACCAAAUCUACAAUUUGCCUCCAAGUAAUUAACAAGCUGAUUUUGUAAACUGCUUUUGUCUGAUUUGAGUGAUGUUGGAAAAAAGGUCGCAAUCUUCUAUGAAAGCUUUAAACGCGUGGCAAUUUUCAUCUCUUAUUUUAUUUUGUGUGGUACUUGUAGAUCAGAGUGUUGAUUAUAUCACUGCCUGACACAACACGUACGUGGAGGACAACGAUUUGAGGGGAAAUAGAGAGAUUAUCUUACGAAUAGCAGAACCGGAUAUUGUCGUAUUUGAUUAUAAAAAGGUGUCGGGGCUUUUUUUAUAAAAUAACUUGAAAUUUUUAUUAAUUAUAAAAAUGAUAUUUUGUUUAUCAUGUACGUAAAUAAUAAAUAGUAAAAAUGAUUGGCGUGACCUUUUUAUCACGUUAGCUAAUCAUUAACUAUUAAAAUUAAAAAAUUACUUUUUUAAUGAACCUAUUUCGCGUCACAUGCGGUAGAAAAUCAUCUAAGAAAGGCAUGCACUAAUCAAUUGUUUUUAAGUACUAAUAUUUAGGGAUAAGGUAAUAUUUAAUUAUCUGAAUAUUUUAUAAUAGGGACGAAAUUAUAAAAAAGUUUAAAAGUUGAAGUUGAAUUAUGUAUUUUUAUAUAAGUUAAAAUACAAUUUAAUCAUAUUAGUUUGUAAUUUUACAUAUUUUAAAGAGAUUAGAUUAAAAUUUUAUCAUUUUGAAGGAUGAGAUGCAAUUUUAUUUUAUGUAUUAAGAUGUAGAAUUAUAAUCUUUAAAGGCACCCAAAACAUAAUUUUUUCCUAAAUCAAUUGAACAUAAAAAAUUACUCAAUAAUCUAUGGAAUUAAUUUUUUCUUGGCACUUAUAUGCAUAUGGUACAUGUAACAACAUUUCUAUUAAAGAAAAGCAACUUGAACCUGCACUAUAGGGAAGCAACAGAAAUUUAUUGUGACAAUCAAUUUGCUGUUACAAUCGCAUAGAAUCUAGUGUUCCAUGGGAGAACAAAACACUUCAAGAUUAAGUUCCAUUUUGUUAGGGAGAUGGAGCAAGCUCGAGAAGUAGAGCUGACUCAUUGCAAUUCUAAAGAACAAUUGGUAAACAUCUUGACAAAGCCCCUUAGUGUGUCAAAGUUCGAUAAAUUAAGGAAGCAAAUAGGAGUUUACAGCAUGGAAGACAAAGAGGAGUGUUGAAGUUGGCCUCCAAGCAGCUCAUGCAGCAAGGAGCAGCACAUCCAGUCUGAGCCAAGCUUGCAGCAGCUGAAGCACGAUGCUACUGUUAAGUUUCAUUUUCAUUUUGUUACUCUAAUGAUCAUUUUGUAAUCAAGUUAGAUUUGAACUUAGUAACUCCUUCUUAAUGUAAUUAGGUGUUGAUUGGCUGAAAAUUCAGCAAAGCAACAUGUACAAGUUAAUUUAGCAAGUUUCAAUGUAAUUUAGUGGUGUUAGGUAGUUGUUUAGGUGAAAUCUUGUUUGUAUUGACCAGUUUGUCUGGUAUAUGUAAUGGCUUAAUGCCUUUGUUCAUAGUAGUUAAUGAAAAUCAAUUAGUUUUCAUCCAUAUACUCUCCAUUUUUCUUUGCUUUCAAUUCGGUUAUGUUCUCAAGCAAAUUUCUGCUUUGUUUCUUCUCCAAGGCACGAGUCUUGCUGUUCAAGUCACAGCUGAACUAGCUUGCUUGUUGUUCAUAAAACCAAUAACCUGUUCUCGGCUGCGUUGAUAACAAUAUCAUCGAUGAACCUCCGGAUUGCAUUCAUGAACAUUGUGCCAUCACCCAAGCUUGUAAGCAAUUCAAGAACACGAAAAGGUAAUUGGUUUUCCAACAAGAGCAGAUACGAGUACAGAAAUGUCAGCAAAUCAUUUUUAGUUAACAAAUUACCAUCAUUAUCGUAACGCAUGUAAACUGCUUGUAAAAUUGCGCAACCGUCAACGAUGAACAUCCAAGCCAGUUCCUCGUUAUCGUCUCUAUACUUCUCUAAUUCCUGUGGAUCAUAGCAUUCCUUCAAGCCAUCCAUCUCUUUCUUAAUUUUGCUGUACAAGGAUUUCUUAUCGACGCCAAUUUUUUUGACGAAAUGUGCUGCUAAUUUGAGCUUGAGCCCCUUGGAUUCACGUAGGGUGAGAUCAUCGUGGUGGAGUGGGCCGAUUGAGAUCACUUUUGGCUUGAAAUACUUCUUGAAAUCUUCGUUACGGAGAAGGGUUGAUGGGACUUUUCGUAUUAAUGGUUUGUAUCUGAGGGUGGGUUGGCCGCCGCCGAAAGCUUUGUCUAAUGACUGGAGCUUCGCUACUUCGCCAUCGCUGAGAGGGACGUCCGUGAACCGCAUAUCAAUUCCCACGUAAUCGUUGUUGGUGUUGUUGUCGAUGAUUGUUUGAUCAGUGGAAACUGCUCCGGCGGCGCCGCCUCCUUCCUCACUGGACGACAUUUUCAGGCUGACCGGCUCGAAGUAAUUAACAAGGUGAUUUUGAAACCGGGUUUUGGCUGAUUGAGUGAUGUUGGAAAAAAGGUGGCAAAAUGGCUACGAUGAUGACAAAUGUUU